Molecule: long non-coding RNA, 1112 nt
Filed under: Papio anubis (olive baboon)
Lineage: Eukaryota; Metazoa; Chordata; Mammalia; Primates; Cercopithecidae
Description: lncRNA (ENSPANG00000042052.1)
Source: RNAcentral
AGCUCUGUCGCUUGCACCAGAUUCUUAAAAGGGUCACGUGUUUGCAAAGUUUAGGAACCACAAAUAUGUCUGAAUAUGUUUCUCUGUAGCAACCACAAAUAUGUGUGAGUGUGACUUAGCAGAUCCAUGGCAAUCGGUGCCACAGGCUCCAGAAGUCGGUUUCUGGACGUUUGCAGGCGUGGACUACCUGGGAGAGACGUCCAGGAGUGUCUGCGUGUCGGGUGGGACGGGGAUCCAGGGAUCUAGGGAUUAGGGUGGUUUCUACCCCAGCCACAGGUGCUGUGGGUUUCAGUCACGUGGAAACAAAGAGUGGUCAAAGACGGCUUUUCUGGGCUGGUUCCUUUGUGGGGAAUACGGGAAAAUGGAGGGAAAAUGCCCUUCAGGAUGGACUUCUGUGGACAGUUUAUGUCAAGGAAAGUGCAGAGUCUGGGGUUUCCAGGAGGGCCCUUCGCUGUGAGGUGUGAGAUACCACACGUGGAGGCUGGAGAGGAAAGGGGCAUCCCCGCCACGUUAGCUGCCCAACGGCUCCCUUUGCCUCCCUGCUCUUGCAGCUGUGUGGUCCUGUGGACUGAAAGGUGAGGCAGACCCUGUGCCGGCCCGUGAGGUGGAAACCGUGGCUGGACUGAGCCGUCCUUAUGUGAGGUGCCACGUCUUUCACUCGGCGAUUUUUACACAACUAGAAAUGAUAGUUGCCAGGUAUUUAGAAUAGAUCAUACAAAUGUCUCAGAAAUUUUGUAAUGAGUGUUGACAUUUUAGUGGAGGAGAUACUUUCAGAUGUGUUUUCAUUUCCAUACUGAAAAACAAGCCCAGACUGGCUUCAUUAAUGGAGUUGCUUUUGGCAGUUCUUCGUGGCGUGUGUUCAAACGAGCUGGGAUACUUCGGGGUACACAGGAAUUCGUGGCGUGUCUUCAAACGAGCUGGGAUACUUCGGGAUACACACGAAUGUGGAGAAAAUGCACAUGCCCAGUUUGUCUUAAUUGUAAUAAGACAGCCUUGAUUUGCAUUUUCAUCGAAGGACUUUGAAACCUUUUCGCUACUCUUCUCACUGCCUCGCUGAUGCUCUGUUGGGCACUGGGAGAGAAGCUCCGCCCAGGUGCCUCCUCUUUUCCCAA